AUUGAACGCUGGCGGCAUGCCUUACACAUGCAAGUCGAACGGCAGCACGGGAGCAAUCCUGGUGGCGAGUGGCGAACGGGUGAGUAAAGUAUCGGAACGUGCCCAGUCGUGGGGGAUAACGUAGCGAAAGUUACGCUAAUACCGCAUACGAUCUAUGGAUGAAAGCGGGGGAUCGCAAGACCUCGCGCGAUUGGAGCGGCCGAUAUCAGAUUAGGUAGUUGGUGGGGUAAAGGCUCACCAAGCCGACGAUCUGUAGCUGGUCUGGGAGGACGACCAGCCACACUGGGACUGAGACACGGCCCAGACUCCUACGGGAGGCAGCAGUGGGGAAUUUUGGACAAUGGGCGCAAGCCUGAUCCAGCCAUGCCGCGUGCAGGAUGAAGGCCUUCGGGUUGUAAACUGCUUUUGUACGGAACGAAAAGGUUUGGCCUAAUAAGCUGAGCUCAUGACGGUACCGUAAGAAUAAGCACCGGCUAACUACGUGCCAGCAGCCGCGGUAA
RNAcentral lists this ribosomal RNA (500 nucleotides) under uncultured bacterium. RNAcentral describes it as "partial 16S ribosomal RNA". It matches the Rfam family "Bacterial small subunit ribosomal RNA", at positions 30 to 523 of the family's 1533-position model. The record is from RNAcentral.